Molecule: ribosomal RNA, 496 nt
Filed under: uncultured bacterium
Lineage: Bacteria
Description: partial 16S ribosomal RNA
Rfam family: Bacterial small subunit ribosomal RNA
Source: RNAcentral
GAUGAACGCUGGCGGCGUGCCUAAUACAUGCAAGUCGAGCGAACAGAUGAGGAGCUUGCUCCUCUGACGUUAGCGGCGGACGGGUGAGUAACACGUGGAUAACCUACCUAUAAGACUGGGAUAACUUCGGGAAACCGGAGCUAAUACCGGAUAAUAUAUUGAACCGCAUGGUUCAAUAGUGAAAGACGGUUUUGCUGUCACUUAUAGAUGGAUCCGCGCCGCAUUAGCUAGUUGGUAAGGUAACGGCUUACCAAGGCAACGAUGCGUAGCCGACCUGAGAGGGUGAUCGGCCACACUGGAACUGAGACACGGUCCAGACUCCUACGGGAGGCAGCAGUAGGGAAUCUUCCGCAACGGGCGAAAGCCUGACGGAGCAACGCCGCGUGAGUGAUGAAGGUCUUCGGAUCGUAAAACUCUGUUAUUAGGGAAGAACAAAUGUGUAAGUAACGAUGCACGUCUUGACGGUACCUAAGCAGAAAGCCACGGCUAACUACGU